This is a microRNA precursor of Oryza rufipogon (brownbeard rice), 195 nucleotides long. It matches the Rfam family "MIR812 microRNA precursor family". The record is from Rfam. Lineage: Eukaryota; Viridiplantae; Streptophyta; Magnoliopsida; Poales; Poaceae.
AAAAAGACAAACCCUGAGUUUUCGUGUCCAACUUUGACUGUCUGUCUUAUAUGAAUUUUGUUUAUAAUUCGUAUUUUCAUUGUUGUUAGAUGAUAAAACAUAAUUAAUAUUUUACGUGUGACUUAUCUUUUUAAUUUUUUUCAUAUUUUUUUAAAUAAGACGGACGGUUAAACGUUAAGCACGGAAAUCAGGGUU